GAACUCUGUGGGCACAGCGGCCCCAGCCUGAGCUCCAUCCCCCCACUCACACCCUUCAGGCAGCCAUCCCCCGUUUCCACAGAAGAGGAAGCAGAGCCUGAGUGUGAAGGCCCCAACCAGUUGCCAGACUGUGCAGACCACCAGAGGAUGCCUCGACAAUGCCUGUGGAGGCUUUGCCGACAUGGGUAGAGAUUUCAGCCCAGAACUGAGGGGUGAGGAGAUGGCCAGGGACCCGGACUCUGGUCUGGGGACAGUGCUAUCAUUUCCUUUAUGUAAGUGGGAAGCGGACUCUGGGAUUAUAACUCGGGUCUGUGAGAUCAUCAUUGUUGCUUCCUGGCAAGUGAGACCCCAGUAAGGCAGACGCUCGAGGGAGAAGCAACGGGGCUACUCACAGGAUCCCAAGGCCGGGGCAGGCGGCCGUUGAGGUGCUGGAACUGGUGCAGUGCACGGAAGGCCUGAUGCAGGCAGCGGGCACGGAGAAGCGAAAGUGAAAGUGAAACUGGACUGAGCCAGCUCCUGGUCCUGCCUCCAGACAGGCGUGGCUGCUGUGGGGCACAGGCAAAGUGGGGCAGAACUCUUGGCUCUUUGGCCUCUGGGAGAGCAGCAAUUUUCCAAUGCCAACUGCACAUCCUGCAAUUCAACUCAAUUCUGAGACCAUCUACCUGGAGACAACCUCAGAUCCACUUCCUGCUCUGGCACCAAUCAGCUGCUUUUGCAACUGGAGCUGCUAUCCCCACAACCAUGAGGAAUAGGGGAUGGUGGCUGAUUCAAGCCUGGCUCUUCCUCCAUCAAGUACUUUCCUAGUUGUCUAAUCAGAGCUUCUUGGCACGGCCAUGAUGGAUGCUGGAGGGCUGGGAUGGAGGCGUGUCGACAUCAAAGGUGGCAUUGAGGUCAAUGUCAUCACCGAAGGCCGGUCGGUGAAGCUUCAGGCUCAGCAUCUCUAUGGGGGCUGGGCUAUAGGCAGAGUUGGCCUGGUUACUCUGGACCACCAUGGCAGUCCAGAAGGACAACAGUCCCUGAAGCAUCAGAGAUGGCUUGGUUCCAGGGGUCUGGAGCCCACACCUGGCUCAGGGCCACCCUUCAAGGAAGCCUGAAUCUCUACAGAAAAAAACCACUUGGCUUAGUGCUUCAGUCAUGGGACCAGUGAAAGUCUUCAAGACAUGGAAGGAAGCAAGCAAAACACACACAAAACCCAAGUGUACAAACAAAAGGUUGCUUUUUGACCAAACAGCUUCAUUUCUCAGAAUGCAGUGCAAGGGGCAGAGAUGUGACCACAGAUUGAUAUAGAUGGCAAAUGGCACAAUAUUGGAAAUGGUCAAAUGACUCCCCAGGGGGCUGGCACUUUCACAGCCUAAAUAUGAUGCAGACAUUAAAGUAGUGUUUCUGGAGAGUAAACUUAAUAACAUGGGGAAAUGUUCAUAUACUACAUUUAAAAAGUAAUACAAAACUCUGUAUACUAGGCGAUAAAAGAAAAAGCAGACAAGUUGGACUUCAAAGAAAUUUAAAAUUGUGUGCAUCAAAAGAUACAAUCGGGGCACGCAGGUGGCUCAGUCAGUUGAGCAUCUGACUCUUGGUUUUGGCUUGGGUCAUGAUCUUGGGAUUGUGGGAUC
Molecule: long non-coding RNA, 1610 nt
Organism: Zalophus californianus (California sea lion)
Lineage: Eukaryota; Metazoa; Chordata; Mammalia; Carnivora; Otariidae
Exons: 4
Source: RefSeq, a predicted model, not a curated record